UACGGGAGGCAGCAGUGAGGAAUAUUGGUCAAUGGGCGAGAGCCUGAACCAGCCAAGUAGCGUGCAGGAUGACUGCCCUAUGGGUUGUAAACUGCUUUUAUGCGGGGAUAAAGUGGCGCACGUGUGCGUUUUUGCAGGUACCGCAUGAAUAAGGACCGGCUAAUUCCGUGCCAGCAGCCGCGGUAAU
This 187-nucleotide ribosomal RNA is filed under the name uncultured rumen bacterium. Its description in RNAcentral is "partial 16S ribosomal RNA". It matches the Rfam family "Bacterial small subunit ribosomal RNA", at positions 340 to 524 of the family's 1533-position model. The record is from RNAcentral.